CUUGUAACUGCAUGGCAUGAAUAUUAGCAGAAAGCCGUUUUCAUUUUUAUAUUAUUUGCCCUUGGUUCUCUUAGGGCCAAGGCUUUGUGACGGUUGAUGAAGUACAGAGACGACUCUCUUGGUCUUCUGGUCAUGCUACUGAUGCUCUUGAAACUUUAUUACAAGUGCGUCACCUUGUGCUGUUUGCACUACGAUCUCCCCAUUGUCUACCUAAAACCAAAUAAAGAGAGAAUGCAAAACUUCACCGGCCGGCUGGAGUCUCCACUCACCACAUCCCUUCCACCCUUUGCACCACCAUAAACUCGCCAUGCUGAACUAAUAAAUUCGACGUUUCCGGCCUGCUUUCGAUCGGGCUGAAUUGGAGGAAUUUUACCUAAGACCAACAAAUUUUAAUGUUUAAGCUUAUUUCCUCAUGACAUUCCUACCUUAAUAGAGAAUAGAGAGUACUAAAAAAUAUUUACUCCUGAGAUUUAUAGAUGCUUUUUAAAAACAGUGUUUUUUUGGAAAUGAUCUUAAAAGAAGCGAGGUCUUUAACAAGUCACUCUUCACUGUCAAAAUUGUGUUUACAGAUCUAUGACACGUGCCCG
This 587-nucleotide long non-coding RNA is filed under the name Olea europaea subsp. europaea. Lineage: Eukaryota; Viridiplantae; Streptophyta; Magnoliopsida; Lamiales; Oleaceae. The record is from RNAcentral.